UGGUAGAAUUGCACUAGAGUGAUUUGUUGAUUUUUGGACAUCAAAUCACUUCAGUGCAGUUCUCUCAC
Molecule: non-coding RNA, 68 nt
Organism: Branchiostoma floridae (Florida lancelet)
Lineage: Eukaryota; Metazoa; Chordata; Leptocardii; Amphioxiformes; Branchiostomatidae
Source: Rfam